This 447-nucleotide ribosomal RNA is filed under the name uncultured bacterium. RNAcentral describes it as "bacterial SSU rRNA". It matches the Rfam family "Bacterial small subunit ribosomal RNA", at positions 39 to 474 of the family's 1533-position model. The record is from RNAcentral.
GGCCGCGGGAAUUCGAUUCAGGCCUAACACAUGCAAGUCGAACGGCAGCACGGAGCUUGCUCUGGUGGCGAGUGGCGAACGGGUGAGUAAUAUAUCGGAACGUACCCUAGAGUGGGGGAUAACGUAGCGAAAGUUACGCUAAUACCGCAUACGAUCUAAGGAUGAAAGUGGGGGAUCGCAAGACCUCAUGCUCGUGGAGCGGCCGAUAUCUGAUUAGCUAGUUGGUAGGGUAAAAGCCUACCAAGGCAUCGAUCAGUAGCUGGUCUGAGAGGACGACCAGCCACACUGGAACUGAGACACGGUCCAGACUCCUACGGGAGGCAGCAGUGGGGAAUUUUGGACAAUGGGCGAAAGCCUGAUCCAGCAAUGCCGCGUGAGUGAAGAAGGCCUUCGGGUGUAAAUCUAUUGGUCAGGGAAGAAACGGGAAAGCUAAUAUCUUUGCUAAUG